GGCGAGACUGUGAAGUGGAGCAAANCUCNGAAAUAACGUCUCAGUUCGGAUUGUAGUCUGCAACUCGACUACAUGAAGCUGGAAUCGCUAGUAAUCGCGAAUCAGCAUGUCGCGGUGAAUACGUUCCCGGGUCUUGUACACACCGCCCGUCACACCAUGGGAGUCGGAAAUGCCCGAAGUCGGUGACCUAACCGAGAGGGAGGAGCCGCCGAAGGCAGGUUCGGUAACUGGGGUGAAGUCGUAACAAGGUAAC
RNAcentral lists this ribosomal RNA (253 nucleotides) under uncultured bacterium. RNAcentral describes it as "partial 16S ribosomal RNA". It matches the Rfam family "Bacterial small subunit ribosomal RNA", at positions 1248 to 1500 of the family's 1533-position model. The record is from RNAcentral.